This 253-nucleotide ribosomal RNA is filed under the name uncultured bacterium. RNAcentral's name for it is "partial 16S ribosomal RNA". It matches the Rfam family "Bacterial small subunit ribosomal RNA", at positions 524 to 776 of the family's 1533-position model. The record is from RNAcentral.
UACGAAGGGUGCUAGCGUUGUUCGGAAUUACUGGGCGUAAAGCGUACGUAGGCGGUUUUGUAAGUCGAUUGUGAAAGCCCUGGGCUCAACCCGGGAACUGCAACCGAUACUGCUUUACUUGAGUUUGGUGGGGGAUGGUGGAAUUCCUAGUGUAGGGGUGAAAUCCGUAGAUAUUAGGAGGAACACCAGUGGCGAAAGCGGCCAUCUACGCCAAUACUGACGCUAAGGUACGAAAGCGUGGGGAGCAAACAGG